GGUUGGGUCCGCUCAGUCCGGGCUCAGAAAGGGGCUUUGUUUCUCCAUGUCAGCGAUGGCUCCUCGUUGGAGUAUCUCCAGGUGGUGGCCGACCCACAUUUGGAGUCCAGGACGCUGACUUUUGGAAGUGCGGUGGAAGUGCAGGGGAAGCUGGUGAAAAGCCCACACAAAGGACAGAAAGUGGAGCUGAAGGCAGAAGAGAUUCGUGUGGUGGGCCCUUGUGACGUUUUGGCCUUCCCUCUGAAAUACAAAGUCCAUCACUCUCUGGAAUAUCUCCGGGAGCUGCCUCAUUUCCGAUGCAGAAGCAAUGUGCUGAGCGCCCUGCUGAGGGUACGCAGUGAAGCCACUGCAGCCAUCCACGCCUUUUUCAAGGUUUUCUGGAACGCAUUGCACCUUCUCAUCGGGAGGCAGCCCCUGUGUCAGCUUACCUGGCCUUGGAAACUAAACUGAAUCAAGCCUGGAGCCUAUAUGGAUGGGAGACCACCAGGAAAUCUCCAGGAUGUAGCAUUG
Molecule: non-coding RNA, 510 nt
Organism: Python bivittatus (Burmese python)
Lineage: Eukaryota; Metazoa; Chordata; Lepidosauria; Squamata; Pythonidae
Source: RefSeq, a predicted model, not a curated record